This 314-nucleotide ribosomal RNA is filed under the name Nothonotus microlepidus (smallscale darter). RNAcentral describes it as "Etheostoma microlepidum (smallscale darter) partial 16S ribosomal RNA". It matches the Rfam family "Bacterial large subunit ribosomal RNA", at positions 2173 to 2569 of the family's 2925-position model. The record is from RNAcentral. Lineage: Eukaryota; Metazoa; Chordata; Actinopteri; Perciformes; Percidae.
AGACGCAAGAUAGACCAUGUUAAACACUCCUUGAUAAGGGAUUAAACCAACUGGAUCCUCUCCUAAUGUCUUUGGUUGGGGCGACCGCGGGGAAACAAAAAACCCCCACGUGGAACGGGAGCACCCCCUCCUACAACUAAGAGCUCCUGCUCUAGUUAACAGAAUUUCUGACCAAUAAGAUCCGGCAGCGCCGAUCAACGAACCGAGUUACUCUAGGGAUAACAGCGCAAUCCCCUUUUAGAGCCCAUAUCGACAAGGGGGUUUACGACCUCGAUGUUGGAUCAGGGCAUCCUAAUGGUGCAGCCGCUAUUAAG